GACGAACGCUGGCGGCGUGCUUAACACAUGCAAGUCGAACGGAAAGGCCCUGCUUUUGUGGGGUGCUCGAGUGGCGAACGAGUGAGUAACACGUGAGUAACCUGCCCUUGACUUUGGGAUAACUUCAGGAAACUGGGGCUAAUACCGGAUAGGAGCUCCUGCUGCAUGGUGGGGGUUGGAAAGUUUCGGCGGUUGGGGAUGGACUCGCGGCUUAUCAGCUUGUUGGUGGGGUAGUGGCUUACCAAGGCUUUGACGGGUAGCCGGCCUGAGAGGGUGACCGGCCACAUUGGGACUGAGAUACGGCCCAGACUCCUACGGGAGGCAGCAGUGGGGAAUAUUGCACAAUGGGCGGAAGCCUGAUGCAGCAACGCCGCGUGCGGGAUGACGGCCUUCGGGUUGUAAACCGCUUUCGCCUGUGACGAAGCGUGAGUGACGGUAAUGGGUAAAGAAGCACCGGCUAACUACG
This 466-nucleotide ribosomal RNA is filed under the name uncultured bacterium. RNAcentral describes it as "partial 16S ribosomal RNA". It matches the Rfam family "Bacterial small subunit ribosomal RNA", at positions 28 to 505 of the family's 1533-position model. The record is from RNAcentral.